CUGUGUUUGAAUACUACAGCAUGGAAUAACAAAAUUGAACAAGUCAGAAUUUUGUUCUUUUUUCUUAUUUUGGCUUAGUUACGAUUAAUAGGAGUAGCUUGGGGGCAUUUGUAUUCAGAUGUCAGAGGUGAAAUUCUUAGAUUUUCUGGAGACAAGCAACUGCGAAAGCAUUUGCCUAAAAUACUUCCAUUAAUCAAGAACGAAAGUUAAGGGAGUGAAGACGAUCAGAUACCGUCGUAAUCUUAACCAUAAACUAUGCCGACUAGGUGUUGGAUGAUAGAGUAAAAAAUAAAAGAGACAUUCAUAUAUAUGAGUGUUUCUUUUAGAUAGCUUCCUUCAGUACCUUAUGAGAAAUCAAAGUCUUUGGGUUCUGGGGCGAGUAUUCGCGCAAGCGAGAAAGUUAAAAGAAUUGACGGAAGGGCACCACCAGGCGUGGAGCUUGCGGCUUAAUUUGACUCAACACGGGGAAACUCACUAGUUUAAGACAAGAGUAGGAUUGACAGAUUAAUAGCUCUUUCUUGAUUUCUUGGAUGGUGAUGCAUGGCCGUUUUUAGUUCGUGAAUAUGAUUUGUCUGGUUAAUUCCGAUAACGAACGAGAUCUUAACCUGCUAAUUAGCGGUAAAUACACUAUAUUCUUAAGUGAAAUUAGAAUAUAGAUAAAUUGUGCUAAUUUUGAUUAAAAUAUUAGAAUGUUUUUUUUAAUAAAAACGUUCUUUUCCCUUUUUUUCUUAAUUAUGCAUAUUUAUUCUUUUUCUUUUUUCGC
This 763-nucleotide ribosomal RNA is filed under the name Plasmodium malariae. Its description in RNAcentral is "partial 18S ribosomal RNA". It matches the Rfam family "Eukaryotic small subunit ribosomal RNA", at positions 789 to 1407 of the family's 1831-position model. Lineage: Eukaryota; Apicomplexa; Aconoidasida; Haemosporida; Plasmodiidae. The record is from RNAcentral.